CAUAUUUUUAUAUUAUUUAUUAUUUACAUAUAUAUUAUCCAUCAAUGUAUUUAGGACAGGACUGGUGCAUUUCUGUAAAGUAUUUGCGAAGAUAAUUUUGAAGCCGGCCACGCCAUUUCGAAAAUAAUAAAUCUUAGGUUGCAGGGAUUCUUUAGUAACGAAAAUAUGUUUUCAUCCUUAAAAAUAAAAACUAAUAGUGAAAAACUAUUAUCAUAGCCUAAUAUUGCUUCUUUGAAUUUCGAAACCACCAUGCUCCCAAAGUUGUCAUCCCGCCGGACCUGCCAAAGUUGUACCACGAAUUCUCGAAUAAUACCAGUGGUGUGGGUUUCAAAUCAGUAGCAAUCAAUAUCAAAAUUGAAUUGUCUUUCAUAUUUUAUGUGUGUUUUGCAUUUACUAAUACUCAAAACUAGAAUUAAUCCAUGUUGAAUACAUCACCACCAUUGGUGUUCUUUGUCACCAUGUUCCACUAAAUUUAAUAUUGUUUAAAGACAAGACCGAGUCGGCAUCUAAAUAAACCACCAAAAUAUGCAAAAAUGUACAGAGUAUAACAUAUAAAAGUAUCAAAGCUCAUCUAAUUGGGGCUCAUUGUCAAUUUUCCUUCCAAAGUUGAAAUUUAAAAUUUUGGGUACCAAACAGUCUUGAACAAAAGCAUUCAUAGUUGGUAAACCUACCGCAGAUGGGCUCAUAAAAGGUGUUUAUCAUAAUGAAAAUUAAAUUUUCUUUCCAGAUAAGCAUGUUUUAUUGCAGUUUCGGUGUCAUAAGAUAUAUUUUUUGGUCUAGAAUGUGAGAGCUUCCUUGCUGCCAAAAGUCACACUGUAACAAUCAAUGGAAUAUUACUAAGAAAUGAAACCGAGUCGGCAUCUAUUUAUAGUACAAUAACAUACAAAAUUGAAUUUUCUAUCUGCUGGUGUAAGGUUUUAUACAAAAUAAAUUGGGGCUCAGUACGAAAUUCGAUGUUGAAAACUGCAGACCAUGAUUAUCACAUGCAGCUGCGCACAGUUUACUGUACUGCUAUCGCUAGCGAAGGCCAGCGCUCUCAUUUGAUUGGUUCAACGGCGUGUUCGUUGCUGACGGAGAACAUCCCUGAUUUUCGAAUUUGUUUGUUUUGAAUUUUGAUUAGGCCGAUUAUGCACAUUGGAAUUCAAUUUAAAAUUAUGCUGCUUGUUGAUGGUUGAAGUUGUGAAGCGCAUAACAUAAAAGAGUUGUGUAGAGAUUGUAUGGAGUGUUGGCGUUUUUGUAGUUUCCUUUUUCUGGUGCUCUUUUGAGAUCUUUGCAGGGGUUAGAAAUUUGCAAUCACAAUGCCACCAGGAAAGUGUUUUUUGUUUGUUUUCAUGCCACAAUUAUGGGCAACACGGCAGGGCAAAGUUUGCCUCAAGUCCUGGCUCGUUCGUAGCCUUGAUUUGCAUUCAAGAAAGCAAGUCUGUGCCCAAACGGAUCAGGAUGCCGCACAUUUUUUAUAUUCUUCAAAGCAAUCGAGGUUCAUUUGCCGAUGUUGCAUGGAGUAUGCGAACCAAAGCAGUGUUAUGCUGACGCGGAGACGAUGACGUUGUAUCUGGCGGUGGUUCUGGAGACAGCGCGGUUCGAUCCAGCUGUGGGCCGGACGUCACCCAGCUGAAAUGGCAGCGUGUUAUCACCAGCUACGAGGCGCGCGUACGGACAUUGUCCAGAAAAAAUCACGUCAUCUCCAGAGCGCCACGCGACCACGAUGGGACUGCCAACGAUGGCCUGCUCACCGACAGCUCCCCGCCAGCCGGCGGCGUUCCGCCAGCCAACGAGCUUCCGCCAGCCAACGGGCUUCCGCCAGCCAACGGCGUUCUGCCCGCCGAUGGUGGCCCGACGACCGACGGUCGCUCGCCGGCCGAAGGUGAUCCGGUAGCCGAACGAAGCUCGCCGGCCGACGCCGGCCCGCCCGCCGACGGCGCUCUGCCAGCCGACCGCGUCCCGCUCGCCGACGGCGUCGAUACGCCGGCGCGCGUAUCGACAUUGAUCAGAAACGAUCACAUUAUGUCCAGGUCAUUAGUCGCGGGCGCUCGAGCUGACGGUGUCGUCUGACGGCUCCGCGGUGACCAGCGCCGCCUCCGCCGAGAACAUCAGACUCCUGAAAUGCUAAUGGCCGUACACGAACAAGAGGCUCUAAACAUCCAGGUGCAGGAUAAGCGCCAUGCUCAGAGGCGUCAUCUGGAGAAGGCCGCACAGUGCACUUAAGGCUGAGCUCGGGUGUAGUGCGCGCAGACAGAUAUGAUCAACUGACGGGCCGGCCAUCAGAUUUCAGUACGGAACUCAAGAUGGUCGGAGCCGACGUGGCUCGGUUGAUGGUGUGCCAGGGUUGAUUGAGAGUGGAGGCGAGACACCCGGAUCUGUGAAGGAUACGCCGAUACGGAUCUCGACGUCGUCUCGCAAUUUGUGCUCUGUAAUAUGACGGCUAUGCCGUGGUAUCAUUCACUCUCGAUGCGCUAAUAAAUAAUGAAUAGGACAGAGA
Molecule: unclassified non-coding RNA, 2479 nt
Filed under: Amphibalanus amphitrite
Lineage: Eukaryota; Metazoa; Arthropoda; Thecostraca; Balanomorpha; Balanidae
Description: uncharacterized LOC122364067, transcript variant X3
Source: RNAcentral